Molecule: long non-coding RNA, 3012 nt
Organism: Mirounga angustirostris (Northern elephant seal)
Lineage: Eukaryota; Metazoa; Chordata; Mammalia; Carnivora; Phocidae
Exons: 4
Source: RefSeq, a predicted model, not a curated record
CUCUUCGAGCAGCAAUUGGGUACUGACUCAGGAUGAAGGCGUGGCUCUUGAUUGGCUUUGACUCAUGCCUAUGAGACUGUGAGGAUCUCGUUUCCCUAGUAACGGAUUGGCACUGAGAUAGACCAAUGACUUAAAGGCGGCCGCCUAAGGGCACUUGCUGGCUCUCACCAUUAGCACUAUUGUCGGACAACAGUUUAAGAGAAAGCGAGAGGGGAAAGUAGCGCCCGUCGUGUACCUAAGAUCGUGUAAAAAGGCCGCACUGAAAAGUGCUGUUGAGUUUGAGAACAGAGAUUUCUACCCUGCUGUUCGUGGCAAGUGCUGCAGCGGGCUGGCCGGAUGGCCGGCUGGUGGGAGCUCGCAGAGGUCUUCCCCUUCUGUUGCUGCCAAGGAACCGUAGUCUGUAAAGUCUCCACUCUGGUUGGUCCUUAAUGCAACAUCCUGUGCGUCACCACCAUUGCCAUUUAGUGUUCCGAUAGCUGGGGGUGUGGGCGCUGCUUUCGUGUCGUUAUGUCUUUUUUUUUUUUUUAAUUUUUAUUUAUUUGACAUAGAAACAGCGAGAGAGGGAACAAAAGCAGGGGGAGUGGGAGAGGGAGAAGCAGGCUUCCCGCGGAGCAGGGAGCCGGAUGCGGGGCUCGAUUCCAGGACCCCGAGAUCAUGACCCAAGCCGAAGGCAGACGCUUAACAACUCAGCCACGCAGGCGCCCCGCGUCGUUACGUCUUUAAAAGGGAAAGAAACUGAGGUUCGGAGAGGUUUAUUGCCUAAAACAGCCAGGAAUUGAACACAGGUGCCUGGCAGGAUUAUUCUGUCCUGCGCCCUUAUAGACAGGCAUGACCACAUGCCCUGCUUUGGCCAACACAACGUGAGCAGAAGUGACACAUACCUCUUCCAGGAAGAGAAGUCUUUGGAGUUAGUGAUUAUUUGCUGAGGUCUUCCCUCCCCACACUAGCCCCCGUACUCAAUAUCAUUCGCUUGGGGAAUCUCCCUCAACCUGGGUCCCUGAGCAAAAAUCAUUUGCACAGAGCCAAUCCUCCAAACCGCCCAAACUGCAAUGGUCAUAUGACAUAAACAAGAAGGAAAUCUGUUGUUUUAAGCCAUUGAGGUUUUGUGAUGGUUUGUUGCCAUAGCAUUACCAGGCCUUUCUUGCCAGUUACAGAUAAGUUUCUAGAUUUUCCAGUGUUUUAGCAGACACUCAAAAUCUGGAUUAACACUGUUCUUUUUUAACAUUUUAUUAAUGGUAUAAAAGUGUUUGGUCCUCACUUUAUUUAUUUGGGUUUGUUUGUUUGUUUGUUUUGGAGAGAGAGAGCGUGCACACGAGUGGGGGCAGGGACAGAGGAAGAGAGAGGAUCUCAGGCAGACUCCAUGCCCAGCACGGAGCUUGAUGUGGGGCUCGAUCUCACCGCCCUGAGAUCAUGACCUGAGCUGAAACCCAGAAUGGGUCUUUCAACCGACUGAGCCACCCAGACGCCCUUUGGCUCUUACCUUUAAAUAUUUUAUAAUGAAAAUAUUCUUUCUAUGAGGACUAUAGUUGGGGCGCCUGGGUGGCUCAGUCGGUUAAGCAUCUGCCUUCGGCUCAGGUCAUGAUCCCCGGGGUCCUGGGAUCGAGCCCCACACCGGGCUCCCUGCUCAGCCAAGAACCUGCUUCUCCCUCUCCCUCUGCUGCCCCCCCUGCUCGUGUGCUGUCAAAUAAAUAAAAUCUUAAAAAAAAAAAAAGAACAAGAGGACUAUAGUUGGAUUUAUUCUUUUUUUAAACUAUUUGGAAUUUUUAUUAUUCAUAAAAAUACUUUUCUUUAAAAAAUGCUUUGCUUGGUCUUAAAGGAACAACUACAUUUACAUGUCAGUCUACAAAUAGAUUUUAAAUUGGAGUAAAAUAUACAGAACGUAAAAUUUACCAUUUUAACCAUUUUUAAGUGUACAAUUCUGUGGCAUUAAAAGUACAUUCACGCUGUUGUGCAACCAAACUCCGUGUUUGUAAAUGUUGUCAACUAAUCAAAAAAUAUUUUGAGCGCACUAGGAACUAAAUAAAAUAUGCUUGCAGACCAGCUUCACCCAAGCCGCAUCUCCGUCUGGUGCCAGGCUGCCUGGGCGAGGCCUGCACCCCAAGCCCUUGUGCUUUGCAGCCCCCCUCUUCCCUUGCAUGGGCUUCUCUGAAGGCCCUUUCAGCUCAGAACCUUUGAUCCCGAGCUGAGAGUUCCUUGGCAGAUAAAGCAAUGAGGCAGCAGCGUGCACCUGCGUUAUAACACAACAAACAGCCCCUUGGCAUUCUGGAGGGAGUAGACAACAGCUACAAAGGCCUUUCUUUGCAAAGCUUGACCCAGCAUCUACAGAAGGGUCACUCCAGUAGGUGGGGUCCAGGGUAGGGCAUACCAGGGAGAAGGCACCACCCCCUUGUCUGUGAGCCUGUCGUCUGCACAUGACUACUAUCCUCACACCAGCACUCUCAGCCAGAAAGGGCCCAUUUCCCAAGCCCACUGGUUUAGUGAUAAACUGACUUACCCAAGUUUACAAGGCUACUAAGGAGACUGCUGGGUAGUCUGGAACUCGGAAUUCCGGAAUUCUGUUUUUAAAAAUAUUUUUCUCUGCGAUUCCUAAUACAUAUUUAUUAUAGAAAAUAUGGCAAAGAGAAGUAGAAAAACAGAACUAAAAAUCACCUAUAAUAUUGGAAUGGGUCCGGGUAGUACACGUAGAUCUGAAGAUAUGAAAACAUAGUUAAUAAAUCUUCUUUGAGAGGCAAUCUGACCUAUCAAAAUUGAAAAUGAAUAGCUAUUCCACAGUAGGAAUUUAUUCUACGUAAACUUUUAAGCAAAGAUCUAUGUAUACGGACUGUCAUUACAUCAUCAUUAUUAGCAUUAAAAGAUUGGAAGCCACAUGUAUGUCUAUAAGUGGGGGACUGUAUCAAGAAUGUGUCAGGAGCAAGUACCAGAAAGUCUGAGUAGCAGUCGCUGAAAUUAAGAGGGGCUUACAUUUCUCAGCCAACCAGUCUGCAGGCAAGCUGCAGCUGAACACACAGAACC